RNAcentral lists this long non-coding RNA (369 nucleotides) under Mytilus galloprovincialis (Mediterranean mussel). The record is from RNAcentral. Lineage: Eukaryota; Metazoa; Mollusca; Bivalvia; Mytilida; Mytilidae.
UGUGAGCACUAGCAAAGUGUUUAACGAACUCUUCAGUUGAAAAAUCACAAACUAUAAUUUCCUUGUCAACUACAAAUUUUACAGCGACUGUGUCAUGUCAAGUACAAAUUUUACAACAUACGAAUUAUGUCACCGACGGUACGUGUACUUUAAAACUCGCUUCCCUUUCUGCAUUUCCGGUCAAUCAAUUAUUGGAUAUUGUGCUCUAACUGUAUUAUGUAUGCACUUGGUGUGUCCUUUGAGCACUAACAAAUUGUGUUAAACGAACUCUAAAAUUGAAAAUUCACACACAAUAAUUUUCUUGUCAACUGCUAAUUUUAUACAGUUUAUGUCAUGUCAAGUACAAAUUUAACAACUACUGUAACAGAC